This 429-nucleotide ribosomal RNA is filed under the name bacterium. RNAcentral describes it as "partial 16S ribosomal RNA". It matches the Rfam family "Bacterial small subunit ribosomal RNA", at positions 355 to 776 of the family's 1533-position model. The record is from RNAcentral.
UAGGGAAUCUUCCACAAUGGACGCAAGUCUGAUGGAGCAACGCCGCGUGAGUGAAGAAGGUUUUCGGAUCGUAAAGCUCUGUUGUUGGUGAAGAAGGAUAGAGGCAGUAACUGGUCUUUAUUUGACGGUAAUCAACCAGAAAGUCACGGCUAACUACGUGCCAGCAGCCGCGGUAUUACGUAGGUGGCAAGCGUUGUCCGGAUUUAUUGGGCGUAAAGCGAGCGCAGGCGGAAUGAUAAGUCUGAUGUGAAAGCCCACGGCUCAACCGUGGAACUGCAUCGGAAACUGUCAUUCUUGAGUGCAGAAGAGGAGAGUGGAAUUCCAUGUGUAGCGGUGGAAUGCGUAGAUAUAUGGAAGAACACCAGUGGCGAAGGCGGCUCUCUGGUCUGCAACUGACGCUGAGGCUCGAAAGCAUGGGUAGCGAACAGG